RNAcentral lists this ribosomal RNA (272 nucleotides) under uncultured bacterium. RNAcentral describes it as "partial 16S ribosomal RNA". It matches the Rfam family "Bacterial small subunit ribosomal RNA", at positions 83 to 352 of the family's 1533-position model. The record is from RNAcentral.
GUUUGAUGGCGACCGGCGCACGGGUGAGUAACACGUAUCCAACCUGCCGAUGACUCGGGGAUAGCCUUUCGAAAGAAAGAUUAAUACCCGAUGGCAUAGUUCUUCCGCAUGGUAGAACUAUUAAAGAAUUUCGGUCAUCGAUGGGGAUGCGUUCCAUUAGGUUGUUGGCGGGGUAACGGCCCACCAAGCCUUCGAUGGAUAGGGGUUCUGAGAGGAAGGUCCCCCACAUUGGAACUGAGACACGGUCCAAACUCCUACGGGAGGCAGCCAUG